AUUGAACGCUGGCGGCAUGCCUUACACAUGCAAGUCGAACGGCAGCACGGGUGCUUGCACCUGGUGGCGAGUGGCGAACGGGUGAGUAAUACAUCGGAACGUACCUUAUCGUGGGGGAUAACGCAGCGAAAGCUGUGCUAUUACCGCAUACGCCCUGAGGGGGAAAGCGGGGGAUCGCAAGACCUCGCGCGAUUAGAGCGGCCGAUGCCUGAUUAGCUUGUUGGUGGGGUAAAAGCCCACCAAGGCGACGAUCAGUAGCUGGUCUGAGAGGACGAUCAGCCACACUGGAACUGAGACACGGCCCAGACUCCUACGGGAGGCAGCAGUGGGGAAUUUUGGACAAUGGGGGCAACCCUGAUCCAGCAAUGCCGCGUGAGUGAAGAAGGCCUUCGGGUUGUAAAGCUCUUUUGUCAGGGAAGAAACACCGGCUCUAACACAGUCCGGGAAUGACGGUACCUGAAGAAUAAGCACCGGCUAACUACGUGCCAGCAGCCGCGGUAA
Molecule: ribosomal RNA, 501 nt
Filed under: uncultured bacterium
Lineage: Bacteria
Description: partial 16S ribosomal RNA
Rfam family: Bacterial small subunit ribosomal RNA
Source: RNAcentral